RNAcentral lists this long non-coding RNA (9831 nucleotides) under Theobroma cacao (cacao). RNAcentral describes it as "long non-coding RNA (TCAC_LNC003639)". The stretch from base 6816 to 6908 matches the Rfam family "Small nucleolar RNA snoR8a". Lineage: Eukaryota; Viridiplantae; Streptophyta; Magnoliopsida; Malvales; Malvaceae. The record is from RNAcentral.
GCGCAACCAGAUAAAGCUUUAGCCAGUCAGAGGAAGCAAGCAUGAGUAGCGCAUAAACCUCCAAAACAACGGCUCCAACUAGCAAUAAGUAAGUUAUGGAAAUGUCGACCGGUGAGUAUUCAUGCUCAUCGAUGAUGAUUGAGAAGGUAACCAAUGCAGAAACAGAGGCCAAACAAGUAAUGCAGCGGAAAAAGAUCCCAAUACAUGAGUAGACUAGUCUUGCUUUGGUGUACAGCAAAUCAUACAAAAGUCCCAGCUCAUAUUCUACCAUUUUGAAGGCCACUCUUGGUUCAAGUCCUCGAAUUAAUUUGUUGCAACGGUAUCCCUGAUGAUGAUCAAAGAUAAGGUCUGCAAAUAAACUUUGUAGCUUCUCAAAAAAGAUAGCAACUAGAAGUGGGAACGAGUCAGGUCCACAAUUUUCUGCCGGAAAGUGUAAACCAAACACAUAGUGUAAUGAGGAAGUUCUAAAAUGCUUCGUGCUGGAGGACAUGAGCACGUAAGUCCUUUCCCCAUACUUGAUAAUUCCUGCAAUGAACACUGGAAUGGCUAUACACGAGAUGGUGGUGUCACCGUCAACCCAAGACCUCAAUAACACAUAAAUUGCAACUCCAAUCUCAAAAACAAGGCCAACAAGAUGCCUUAGCCACAACUCAUUGUCUUCUAAGGAGUAGGCAGUAAUAGUGUCUGAGCCACCGAGGUGCAAGAGAAGGAAUGGAGCCCAAAAUGACUGCAGUGAGUGGUUUUGAUUUGGAGCAUUACUUCCCAGGGACCUGGCAAGAAUGCCCAAUGCAACAGUUGCCACCCAAUCUGCUGACAAGUAUGCAGACCAAACAAGGAAGUUGAUCCAUGUACUUGUCGUACUCUUUCUUUUGGAACCAAAGGCAACGAGUAUUACCUGUAAUGAGAGGCUGAGCAAAACCAACACUCGUAUCUCCCAACCAUUCCAAAGUUUAAUCACUGUUUCAACGAGCGCCAUUGCUGGUCUCUUACUUUGCCUAAAACAUAAAAUAGUGUUUGCGUCUAUAACUAUAUUUAUUUUGUGAAAUCCCAAAAAGUGAACAUAGGAAGAUGGACAAAGAAAAAAUGAAGAUGAGAGCAUUAACUUUCAAAAUUUCUUUAUUAUUCUAAUUCCAUGAUGUAUUUUUUGUUAUCAAUUUCCUAAUUGAAGAGUUUGUUAAUAUAAGAAUGGUGUAUAUUAAUUAAUAUAAUAGGAUGACAAUAUUAUAUUUUAGAAAAAUAAACAACCAAUGAGAUAUAUAAAUAUAAUAAUUUUAUUAAUUUUUGACAGAUAAUUUUCAUUAGUAAGAUGUUUAGCAAUUAAAAGUUAAUUAAUUUUAAAUAAUAAUAUAGUAAAAAUUGACUAAUUAUAAAGGACAUCUAAUUCCAUAAUCGCAUGUAUAUUAUUAUUUAUUAUAUAUUUACUAUUAUUAAUAUCAUUUAAAUAAAAAAGUUUGCAAUGAAGCGUAUUACUGAUUAAUGGUUAUAUUAGCAAUAUGCUAAAAUUAAAGAAAUUGCAUUUAACUUAUUGACUCUUUUUACAAAAUUUUAUGUUUUGGUUAAUUCUAUAAACCUUAUAAUUUUAUAUGUUACUUCUAAUUAUAUAUGAAAAAUCUCUUCCUAUACACUUGCAAUCACCAUGUAUUUUUAGUUGGAUAUAAAAUUUAUCGAAACUCACUAUUUAUGUUAAUCUUAUAAUUAUUUAAAGUCUCAAAUCAUUUAAUAUAAUACAAAUUCUAGUUUGUGAUAUAGUUAAAUUUAAAUUUUAUGAAGAAUAAUUUUUUUUAUGGAAAGGGGAUUCAAAUCCAUACUUUUAAAUAGAGAGAUCAUGCACUAACUAAUAAGCCAAAUACUCAAGUGCUUAUAAAAAAUAAUUUACUUUAAUUAAAAGUUCAAGGUUAAUAAGAAAAAAGACAGAUAAAAAUUAGACAGUUUAUGCAUCAAUUGUAACAUAUAAAGAAUUCCACUAGAAAAAGUUAACAUAUAAAGAAUUAAUUGAGAGUUAUGUAUGUACACAAUUAUUUACACAAUUUUUAUUUAAAUAUUAAAAGAAUAAGGAGAUUUGAACUCAAACUUUUUUAAAGAAAAAACAUACACUUACUUUUAAGCUAAAUACUCAAAUUCAUUAUUAUAAAGUAAAAUUUUAAAGUACUAAUAUGAUCAAAUCAAAUUGAUUGUGGCUCUAACAUGAUAUUACUUUUGAGUCUUAAUCAAUAAAUCCACUCUCCUGAAAAAUACAACCCCCAAGAAGUGGUGAAGCAGAGUGGAAACUGGCUUGAUGCUUCCUGAACCAAUGCGCCUUUGACUAAAAGGAAUGAAACUUUUAAGUACUAAUAUGAUCAAAUCAAAUAAGUAGGUAAAAAUAUUCCAAUUCCCUAAUCAAAUGCCUUUAAAAAAAAAAUCAAAUAAGCAGGCACACAAUCUAACAUCAUAUUACUCAUGAAGUCCUGAUCAAUUGAUAAUAUUUAUACAUUUCCUAUGAUCAAUAUAACAUCAUUUUCUCCUCGAUCCUCCUUUUGUAGUAGAUCCUGUGUUGCUGCGCAUUAACUGUUUUUUAUAUUUUUCAGUGUUGGGGUGUUGCGGACUUCAUCUGUGCUUAAUCUCAGCUUAUAUUCUGCAUUGGUUUAUAAAGUGUUGCAAGUGAUGAAAUAGUUCUAUCGGUUGGGAUAUUGUUUUAUUUUUGUUUUCUUAGUUUGACUGGUUCAGUUACAGACCUUUUUUCUUAUAAUUGAAAGAAGGAAGAUUUGAACUCUAUUCUCUAUACAUCAAUCAAUGAGUCAAAUAUUUAGGUGUAAAUUCAGUUAUAAACUUGUUUAUAUAUUAAUUUUUUUUUUAAAUGUGAUUUAUUGAAUUGCUUCUAACCCAACACGUCAUAGGUAGUCUUUAGCUAAUUGUCUUAAGACUCCCAAUAACAUAAAAGGUUUGGCUUGAGUGUAAACCUGUACAAUUGCCAACAUUCAACCACACAAAAAGAAAUUGGUGCCUCUUACUAGAAAACUACCUUGCUACUUAAUAAAAUUGAAUUUUGAUUGAGCAAACAAAAAUUAAUAAAAAAACUAUAAAAUAUAUAGUAUUUAGUUAAACUUCAGUCAAAGGGUAAUAUUAUCAUUUUAUAAAAUCAUUAAAAAAAAAGAGGUGGUCAGACAACAAAUGAUACAAUUUCAUUUUUAUAUAAUCAUAUUCAAGGAUAUAAACCUUUUUUUAGUUUUAUGAAGAAAAAAAAAAAAGAAAACUCACCCCCAAGAGCUGGUGAAGGAUUGCUGGAGCCUCCUUUGAAGCUUUCUAAUCAGCCAAUGUGCCUUGAAUUAAAACAAUGAAAGAGACUCAUAAAUUUAUAGCAGUGAAGAAAAAUUCUUUUAAAGGCAUGAAGCAAGGAAUGAUAAGAGAAGAACAAAUUUUGGACGUUUGCUUUGGCAUUAAGUUAUCCAAGUAUCAAGGAAAAGUAAUACAGCAUGUCUCAUGAAAUAAGAGUUCAAAGGAAUACAUCAAGGCUUAUGCUUCAGAAAAUGCAUCUAAAAUAUUAUUAAUUACUCAGAUUUUGUUAAUUAGUGCUCUAAUUAAUUAAGAACAAUUAAUAAAAUGUUAUUUUUUACAUAUUAUAACAAAAUUUAUUAUUUUAAAAUAUUUUAUUUCAAAUGCACUCAUUGAUAAAUAAAAAGAUUGAUGAUUGAAAUACACUUAAUGAAAAUAUUACUUUUGAAAAUAACCUUACAAGCGUAUUUGCAAGAAAUCUUAGGAGUGAAUAUGCCUCCACAUCUAAUUCUAAUUUUCCUUCAAGCAAUUGUUUAUUAGAUUCUCAGGACAGAGCAUGGAAAACGACGACCCCUUUUUUAAUUAUAUAAAGUAAAAAAGAAUUUUAUUUAACGACGAACCUAAUUCUAUUGUUCGUUCGUGUCUUUGUUUGUCUACAACUUACAUGAGAGUCUAAUUAUUUUUCCAAACUGUGAAAGGCCUUACAACUCUAAAAGGUACAACUUCAAUAGUAAUUAAAUUGGUCUAAGACUCCUUCAUAUAAAAUCCAUAUUCCUUCGUAUAAAUAUAUAUCUCAAAUAAAUUUUCAAAUGAUUAGUGGAUUGGUGUUGGUAGAUUGCUCAAGCAAGCCUCUAUUUGAUCAUUUAUUUAUUGUAAAAUGUAAGUUUCUUUAUGUAAAUGAAAAAAAUAUGUAUAAAUGAUAAUUCAUCAAUAUUUUAGUGUAUUUUCUAAUUUUUUUAUAUAAUUAUAUGAAUUAUUAUAAAAACACAUUUCAAGUUUUGCGAUACCAUUUAAAGUAGAUUCCAUGAGUUAGGUGGUUCAACUUGCGAGUUUGGCUUGAAUUGGACCCUUGAUAUUAUUAAUUUAUGAAAUAACAAUCUUUGGGCCAUACCCUAUACAACAAUAAGAGACACUUUUGAUAUUCUUGAAAGGAAAACCGAAAGGCCCCUAGCUAACACUAGCCAAUUGGCCCUAUGGUGUCUGUGGAUUACCGUUGGAGAUUGAGCACUUAAAAAACUUGCCUUGAUGUUUGAAGGCUUCCAUUCAUAGGAUUUUGAGCUUUGAGAUUUUGACAAUUAGGAUUUGAAGGUAUAACAAUAUUUUUACUACUAAUUAAUUACAUUUUCUAUGUUAAACAAACCAAAUAUUUGAUUUUACUAUUGAAAAGGAUUUUAAAUUCCACUGCAAUAGGCUCUUGUUGAUUGCAUGAUUUCCCAACAAUCAUCACUAGACAACCUUUUAAUAUCAGGAGCAACAAUGGAAAGAUGACUAACCAAGGGGCCUUUUCUCAUUUUCCCAACACCCUUAACCACAUCAGCAUACGUUUUGCGCUGAUGAUAGGCCUCAAACCUAGAGCCAUUUUGAAAACAAUCAGAAGACCUAAAAUUCUCAGUCAGUGCAGUCUUAUGAAAUUCGAGGAGAGAGUAUAAGUAGUUAUUCACCACAUGUUGAGCAUUUUAAAGAAAGUCACAAGACUUUUGACGCAGAAAUCUAAUGCUUUCUUAUGGAAAGGCAAAGAUACAAAAGCUACAAGAACUAAAGUUAAUUAGCUGGGACUAAGGUUUCCAUCCAAAGAAUGAAGGGCGUUUAGCGUUUAGGCAUCGAGAAGAUCUCUCCUUGGAAUAAAGCCUGUAUGAUGGAAAACCGUUUGGGCUAUUCUUAUUCAAUCAGGGUCAUAACGUGUUGCUUGCAUCAAAUCUUAUAUAUGCACUAACAGGCAGAAGUCUGUGAUCUAUUCCUCUGUCUAGUGAUUGCUCAUGGGGGUGGAAGAAAAUCUUGAAACUAAGAAACUAUAUCAAACCCUAUGUGCAAAACAUAAUAGAUUAUGGAAAACCCACAGAUUUUUGGUUUGAUUGCUGCCAACCUAAAGGGCCUUUGUUGCUUAUGCACUAUAAUUUCAUGAUCUCUUCCUUUUCAAGUAAAAAUGGUAACUGCACUUGAGUAUUUAACUCAUUGAUUGAUACAUGAUCCAUUGUCUAAAAAAUAAUAUUCGAAUCCUCUUCUCCAAUUAAAAAAAAAUAAAAGGGACAACUGUAGUUAAUGUUGCACUCUUCCCUUUCAAGCAGAAAGGAACAAUUGUCAUUAAUGCUGCAAGUUUGGUUUGGCCUUUGGCUAGAUCAGAUGAUUUAGUAGAGACUCAAUGCUCCUCAUAUGAUGUUAUUAUUCUUAAUCCGAGACGGAAAGAUGAAGCCAUCUGGACUUAGUCUAGCAAUGGAAUGGGAAGUUUACAAUCUCUAGUACUUUGAAUAUCGUUAGACAUAGAAAACCAUCUUCUCUUGAGCCUUAUAGAGAAGAAACACUGCUUACCUGUUACUUGAAGAAGAAUACAAUCGUUCGAGAGAUUUUAAUAAUUUAGAUAGAUGACAUGAUUUUGAGGUCGAGACAGGAAAGGGGCAUGAGAUCAGGGUAGGGGAUUUGCAUUCAUAGCUCUAUCUUUAUACAUGUACAAAUUAAAUUCAAAUUAUACUUAAAUGACUCUUAAUUAUCAAAUCAAUAUAUAAUUAAUGACAUUCAAUAAAAGAAACAAAUUAGCAAAUCAACGUAUUAGUAUAUAGUUAAAAAUUAGUCAAAAUACCCACCAAGUUCUGUACCCAUGCAUUUUAUUCAUUUAGUCUCUGUACUCAAAAUCGAAACAAUUUAAUUCCUUGAUUUUAGCAAUUGAUAUAAUUUAGUCCCUCUCACUAACGGUAUUGAAUUUUACUGUUAAAAAGAUGAUGUCAGCACUGACAUCAACAUUGAUGUGACAUAUUUUGCUGGUGUGGCAUCGACUUGAUGACAUGGCAGCGCCAUGUGGCCCUAAUAUGUUGUCGUGUCAGUGCCACAUGGUAGAUAAAAAAAUUUUUAUGCUACGUUAUAGAGAUUAAAUUGAAUAAAAAUAUAUACUAUAUGGACUAAAUUGAACAAAAUUGAGAUUUUGAGGAACUAAAUUGAAAAAAAUAUUUAAAAAUUAUAAAUCUUUAAGUAGAUGAUAGAUAUACUUAUUAAUAAGUUAAAUAUUUAAGUACAAAAGAUUUAUGGUGUUAUAAAUAUAUAUAAAUAUUUUCUUACUUGAUUAUUUGAUUGUAAAAUAUGUAUAUUAAUUUAUCUUCUUUACAAAAAUUAAGUUUGAAUUCUCCUUCUAUAAAAAAAAUUUCAAAAAAAUUUUCAUACAUAAAGUCAAAUUUAGAUGAAUAACUUGCAUUAUGUUGAAAUAAAAUAAUAUAAAAAACUAAAUAAUUUUUUCUUUUAUUAUAAUAGCACAAAAAUUUGAAAUUUAUUUGACUUAACUUUUAACUUGAGUUGAAAUUAAAUUAGCAUAGUGAGUUGACUUAGUUUUUUGUUUGAAAAAAAUGAAAAAGGGAGAUAUAGAGUUAGCGAUGAUUAUAAAAAUAAUUCUUCAUUCUGACUUACUUAAUUUGGACAUGACAAACCUCUUAUUAUAAUCAUAAAAUCCGAGUUACUUCACCUCUUCAAUUUUUUAUAUAUUUUUUAUGUUUUUGUUUUAUCUAAUAUGUCAGGUUAUAUUCUUUAGGUUGAAAUUUCUUAGAUUAAAGACUGUAUUUAUGGUUGAUAGAGUUAAAUAUAAUUGUAAAUAUUUAUACAAUUUUAUAUUGUAUUUACAAAUUUUUUGUAGAUCUAAAGUUCACGAAUUAAAUUGUUACAACCGUAUCCCUGACGUUGAUCAAGGAUAAGGCCUGCAAAUAAAAAUUUUAGCCUCUUGAACAAGCUAUCAACUCGAAGUAGGAAGGGGUCAACAAAUAGGGCAGCUCCAAAUAUAUCUGCGUCGUUGUAUAGGUAUAAACGUAACAAAUUGUGUAAUGAGGAAGUUCUAAACUGCUUCGCGCUUGAGGUCAUGAGCACGUAAGUCCUUUCCCCAUACUUGAUAAGUCCUGCAAUGAACACUGGAAUUGCUAUACACGAGAAGGUGGUGUCACGGUCAACCCAAGACCUCAAUAACGCAUAAAUUGCAACUCCAACAUUGAAAAGCGCAUUAAUAUGAUUCUAGCAUUGAAAAGCUGUACAUUAAUAUGAUCCUCAACACCUUAGCAUUGUAAGUUGUUAGUUGUAUUGUUGCAGGAAAUACCUGACGCAAAUGAUAGAAUUAAUCAUGUGUGUUUCUUUGCGUGGUGGUUGGUGGUUGCUUUUGAAAUUGUGUUUGGCAGUAUUCUCGUACAGGGAUUCUCACCGGUCUUAUUUAGAUAUUAAGAGGUGAUUGCUUUAUGGUUGAUUUUGGUCGUAAGCUUGUAUUGGCGGGAGGUGUUUUGGGCGGGUUUUGUUUUGCUUUGAAUUCAUCUAUGAGGCUGUGUGUGUAAUGGGAUUGUACUUGGGCAGGUGGCGAAACAGGGGGUUUGUUGCAUUUUUUUAGUGGGGAUCUGGGUGGGACAAUGGGGCAAUAUAGUGACUGAUUUGGUUUUGUUGGGGUGAGGUUUCUUCCAAAAGUUACGGCUGUCUCGUGGUUCUCGUUAUAUGAUUACAGUGGUGUUGUGAGUUUUUUGCAAGGGAUAUAAUUUGGAAGAGUUUUCUUGGCAGCAGGGGCGCAAAUCUGAUUCCACGUUGUCUUUAGGAUACGUUCACUCGGCAGGAUUUGGAUGUUUACUGCCUAGGUUGGAUUCUUAGUGUUGUUUUUGAUGGCUAGGGCUAUGGAAAUUGCUGUUAUAGGACUAUGGUGUUUGUAUCAAGUGCUUUGCUCCUUGCCUUGAGCAAUUCCUCUCAUAUGAACUGUCUCUUUUCAUGACUUGGCUUUAUGCAAAGUUUUAUGUAUCACAGUGAUGUUUAUAAAAUAAUCUUUGACUGAGUAAACAAUAAAUAAACGGUAAAACUAAAUAUCAAAACUCAAGUGUUUUAUUGAAUAAUUUUGACAAUAUAAAUCAUUGAAUAUCUAAUAGAAAUGUGCUCAAAUUAUAAGAUCUAAAAUGAAAUACUUCACUUUAAAUAUAUGAAUGCGCUGAAAUUACAAUGAUAUAUUAAAAACAAAAUCCUUAAGAUGGUAUAAAAUGAUUAUUUUAUGUCAACAACUAUUUCUUCGAGUUCAAAAUUUGACACAUAAGUAUACAUGUUAAAAAAUGCCAUUAACAGAUAAUUAAGCUUCAAUUUUUGAAUGAUCCUAUGGUUGACGAUGAUGACUGAUCUUAAUUCUUUCCCACCAUGUCAAUAACUUCUUCUUAGGGAGUUGGCGAAGGGAUAAUUGCCCAUCUCGGUAUUGGCCACUGAUGCCAAAAUGUGCCAUAAGAAGGCAAACGUGAGUGAGCAGUUGUCCGCCUUUGGCGAGUUGGCGACCAUGCUCUUUCCAUCCACAAUGACCUGCGGCAUAUGUCAAUAGUUCUACCCACACUUUAUUCAUCAUCUCCCACUUUUCUUUCCUUCCCCGGUUUCUCUUGUUCAGAUUUUGCAAUUGUUUCGCAAGAUCGCGACCCUUCAAAAGGAUACUAGACUCAUCAGAUCGAAGUUCUUCCAAUUUUGGACCCCCUUCAAGCAACUCUUGGUAGGCUUUUUCUAUUUGUAUGUCUCUCUUUUCUUUAAAAAAAUCGAAGACCUCCUCACAGGCCUUUCUGUAUCUUAUUUCACCAAUCCCUUUGGGCAACAUUUUUGAACGCAAGACGAAAAGAUAAAGCAUGUACUCCGAUAGGCAUCUGCUGAUUUUGCUGUAUUCAUUAAUGAGACUAUAGAGAUCAGUUGUCUUAAUAUCAUCAUAGUAACAGAGCUGGGUAGCAAUGUGCCAAAGAAGAAUGCUUUCGUCAAAUUCUACAUCAACGGUGCUCCAUUUAAGCUCAUCAAGGAGCUUCAUUUCAUUAAGUACACAUUCACCUCUGUAAUUCAAUACUUUGCUGCUUAAUUCGGUAUUAUCGAAAUCUUCAAGCUCUUUAGUUCUCCUAUCUAGUUGAUGGAAGAUAAGGCAUUUUAGAUCGUCAUCUAUCCCUUGCUGCCAUUCCACAUUCUGAUGCUUCUCUAACAUUUCAUAGAUGCCAAGUAACUUUUUAACUAUAAUCCACUUGGUUGCCUCCUUUUGAAGGCAAAAGCUCACAAGGUUGCACUUGGCUAUGCUUCUAGACCACCUCCUACCCUUUCUCACUCGUUUUAAAUGACAUUUUUUUUGCACAACUAGCCAAAGCUUUAGCCAGUCAGAGGAAGUAAGCAUGAGCAGCGCAUAAACCUCCAGAACAACAGCUCCAACCAGCAAUAGGUAAGUUACGAACCUGUCCACCGGUGAGUAUUCAUGCUCAUCGAUGAUGAUUGAGAAGGUAACCAAUGCAGAAACAGAGGCCAAACAAGUAAUGCAGCGGAAAAAGAUACCAAAACAUGAGUAGACUAGUCUUGCUUUGGUGUAGAGCAAAUCAUACAAAAGUCCCAGCUCAUAUUCUACCACUUCGAAGGCCACUCUUGGUU